RNAcentral lists this small RNA (124 nucleotides) under Marmota monax (woodchuck). Lineage: Eukaryota; Metazoa; Chordata; Mammalia; Rodentia; Sciuridae. The record is from RNAcentral.
GCCAGGCACAUUGGCACACGCCUGUAAUCCCAGCAGCUUGGGAGGCUGAGACAGGAGAAUCUCAGUUCAAAGCCAGCCUCAACAAUGGUGAGGUGCUAAGCAACUUAGUGAGAUCCUGUCUCUA